Molecule: microRNA, 22 nt
Filed under: Schistosoma japonicum
Lineage: Eukaryota; Metazoa; Platyhelminthes; Trematoda; Strigeidida; Schistosomatidae
Description: miRNA-3102
Source: RNAcentral
UGGCAGAUUGUCUUCGGAAUUU